UCUAAAUUCACACGGAGGAAAGAGG
Molecule: non-coding RNA, 25 nt
Filed under: Rattus norvegicus (Norway rat)
Lineage: Eukaryota; Metazoa; Chordata; Mammalia; Rodentia; Muridae
Source: RNAcentral